UAAAAGAUAAGCUAAAUAAGCUAUUGGGUUCAUACCUCAUUUAUAAAGGUUUUAAUCCUUUUCUUUUAA
Molecule: transfer RNA, 69 nt
Filed under: Longitarsus pratensis
Lineage: Eukaryota; Metazoa; Arthropoda; Insecta; Coleoptera; Chrysomelidae
Description: tRNA-Met
Rfam family: tRNA
About the family: Transfer RNA (tRNA) molecules are approximately 80 nucleotides in length. Their secondary structure includes four short double-helical elements and three loops (D, anti-codon, and T loops).
Source: RNAcentral